GCUCUUGCUCUUGCUCCUUCGCCUGCUUGCCGUGUGAGACUGAGUAACUGCUAGAUCCUUGGACUUCCAUUCACAGCUGCGACUGAACAAUUGUAAGGAAUUGGGCUGCCGACUUGCAGAAAACAGAUGGAUCAUGGAGAAUGACAGUUGAUUAUCGAAAACUAAAUCAGGUGGUAACUCCAAUUGCAGCUGCUGUACCAGACGUAGUUUCGUUACUUGAGCAAAUUAACACAUCUCCUGGCACCUGGUAUGCAGCUAUUGAUCUGGCAAAUGCCUUCUUCUCAGUACCUGUUCAUAAGGACCACCAGAAGCAAUUUGCUUUCAGUUGGCAAGGCCAACAGUAUACCUUCACAGUUUUGCCUCAAGGAUAUAUUAACUCUCCUGCCCUGUGUCAUAAUUUAGUUAGAAGGGAUCUUGAUCGUUUGGAUCUUCCACAAAAUAUCACAUUGGUGCACUAUAUUGAUGACAUUAUGCUGAUUGGACCAAGUGAGCAGGAAGUAGCAACUACUUUGGACUCAUUGGUAACACAUAUGCGUAUCAGAGGAUGGGAAAUAAAUCCAACCAAAAUUCAAGGACCAUCUACCUCAGUGAAAUUCUUAGGAGUCCAGUGGUGUGGGGCAUGCAGAGAUAUUCCUUCUAAGGUGAAAGAUAAGUUAUUGCACCUGGCCCCUCCUACAACCAAGAAAGAAGCACAACGUUUAGUGGGCCUAUUUGGAUUCUGGAGACAACACAUCCCUCACUUGGGUGUGUUACUUAGGCCUAUUUACCAAGUGACUCGGAAAGCUGCUAGCUUUGUGUGGGGCCUGGAACAGGAGAAGGCCCUUCAACAGGUCCAGGCUGCUGUGCAGGCUGCUCUACCACUUGGACCAUAUGACCCAGCAGACCCAAUGGUACUUGAGGUGUCUGUGGCUGAUAGAGAUGCUGUUUGGAGCCUCUGGCAGGCCCCUGUAGGUGAAUCACAGAAAAGACCUUUGGGAUUUUGGAGCAAAGCUCUACCAUCAUCUGCAGACAACUAUUCUCCCUUUGAAAAACAGCUCUUGGCCUGCUAUUGGGCCUUAGUGGAAACUGAACGUCUGACAAUAGGACACCAAGUCACUAUGCGACCUGAACUACCCAUCAUGAGCUGGGUACUAUCAGACCCUGCAAGUCAUAAAGUGGGACGUGCACAGCAGCAGUCUAUUAUCAAAUGGAAGUGGUAUAUACGUGAUCGGGCCAGAGCAGGUCCUGAAGGCACAAGCAAGUUACAUGAAGAAGUUGCUCAAAUGCCUAUGGUUUCUACUCCUGUUACAAUGCCAUCUGCUGCCAAGCAUGCACCUAUAGCCUCAUGGGGUGUUCCCUAUGAUCAACUGACUGAAGAGGAGAAGACUAGAGCCUGGUUUACUGAUGGCUCUGCACGUUAUGCAGGCACCACCCAGAAGUGGACAGCUGCAGCAUUACAACCCCUUUCUGGGACAACCUUGAAAGACACAGGUGAAGGGAAAUCUUCACAGUGGGCAGAACUUCGGGCAGUACACAUGGUAUUACAGUUUGUUUGCAAGAAGAAAUGGCCAGAUGUACGAUUAUACACUGACUCAUGGGCUGUAGCCAAUGGAUUGGCUGGAUGGUCAGGGACUUGGAAAGAUCACAAUUGGAAAAUUGGUGAGAAAGACAUCUGGGGAAGAAGUAUGUGGAUAGAUCUCUCCAAAUGGGCAAAGGAUGUGAAGAUAUUUGUGUCCCAUGUAAAUGCUCACCAAAAGGUGACUUCAGCUGAGGAGGAGUUCAAUAAUCAAGUGGAUAAGAUGACCCGUUCUGUGGACAAUCAGCCUCUCUCCCCAGCCAUCCCUGUCAUUGCUCAAUGGGCACAUGAACAAAGUGGCCAUGGUGGUCGAGAUGGAGGUUAUGCUUGGGCUCAGCAACAUGGGCUUCCACUCACCAAGGCUGACCUGGCUACAGCUGCUGCUGAUUGCCAGAUCUGCCAACAGCAGAAACCAACACUGAGCCCCAGAUAUGGCACCAUUCCUCGAGGUGACCAGCCAGCAACCUGGUGGCAGGUUGACUACAUUGGACCACUUCCUUCGUGGAAAGGACAGCGUUUUGUUCUUACUGGAGUAGAUACUUAUUCUGGUUAUGGAUUUGCCUUUCCUGCACGUAAUGCCUCUGCUAAAACCACCAUUCACGGACUGACAGAAUGCCUCAUCUAUCGUCAUGGUAUUCCACACAGUAUUGCUUCUGACCAAGGAACUCAUUUCACAGCCAGAGAAGUACGACAGUGGGCUCACGAUCAUGGAAUUCACUGGUCUUACCACAUUCCCCAUCAUCCUGAAGCAGCUGGGCUGAUAGAAAGAUGGAAUGGCCUUUUGAAGACGCAGUUACAGCGCCAAUUAGGUGGUAACAGCUUGGAAGGCUGGGGCAGAGUUCUUCAGAAGGCAGUAUAUGCUUUGAAUCAGCGCUCGAUAUAUGGUGCAGUUUCACCCAUAGCCAGGAUUCAUGGGUCCAGGAAUCAAGGGGUGGAAAACGGAAUAGUUCCACUUACUAUCACUCCUAGUGACCCUCUAGGAAAAUUUUUGCUUCCUGUCCCCAUAACUCUAGGUUCUGCUGGCUUAGAAGUUUUGGCUCCAGAGAGGGGAGUGCUCCUACCAGGAGCUACAACAAACAUUUCAUUGAACUGGAAGCUCAGACUUCCCCCUGGUCAUUUUGGGCUUCUAAUGCCCUUAAACCAACAGGCUAAAAAAGGAAUAACAGUGUUAGGAGGGGUGAUAGAUCCAGAUUACCAUGGGGAAAUUGGAUUACCUCUUCACAAUGGUGGUAAGCAAGAUUAUGUCUGGAGUGCAGGAGAUCCCUUAGGGCGUCUCUUAGUACUACCAUGUCCUGUGAUUAAAGUCAAUGGGAAACUACAACAGCCUAAUCCAAGCAGGAUGACAAAGGACGCAGACCCAUCAGGAAUGAAGGUAUGGGUCAAUCCUCCAGGAAAAGAGCCAAGACCUGCUGAGGUGCUGGCUGAAGGUGAAGGAAAUACAGAAUGGGUAGUAGAGGAAGGUAGUUAUAAAUACCAAUUAAGGCCACGUAACCAGUUGCAGAAACGAGGAUUAUAAAGUAAUAUGAAUGCCCAUUGUAAAUUUACUAAUGCGUUUGCGAUUGUACGAGGGAUAGUUAUAUCAUGUUAGGCGUAUUUACAACCUUGUUAUUGUUUCAUGUGAACAUGAGAUAUUAUUUGUGUCAAGUUGACAAGGGGUGGAUUGUAGUGGCUAUUCCUGGUUGUCAACUUGACAAUAUUUGGAAUGAACUACAAUCCGGAAUUGGAAGGCUCACCAGUGACCCUUAUCUGGAGGCUUGGAGAUCCUUAUCUGGAUCUUGGUUUGAAGAUCUUGAGCCAUAGUGGCUAUGGAUUCCAGAAGAUUGAAUCUCCGAGUUAAGGAACACACCUUUAAUCUGGGCUAUGCCUUUCAUCUGGGAUUAAAGGUGUGGUGGAACACACCUUUAAUCUGGGCUACACCUUUUGCUGGAGACAAUAUAAGGACAUUGGAAGAAGGGAGUCUAGCUCUUGCUCUUGCUCUUGCUCCUUCGCCUGCUUGCCGUGUGAGACUGAGUAACUGCUAGAUCCUUGGACUUCCAUUCACAGCUGCGACUGAACAAUUGUAAGGAAUUGGGCUGCCGACUGUAAGUUAUCAAUAAAUUCCUUUACUAACU
Molecule: long non-coding RNA, 3666 nt
Filed under: Mus musculus (house mouse)
Lineage: Eukaryota; Metazoa; Chordata; Mammalia; Rodentia; Muridae
Description: predicted gene, 48764
Source: RNAcentral